AAGUCGUACAAGGUCUCCGUUGGUGAACCAGCGGAGGGAUCAUUACCGAGUUUACAACUCCCAAACCAUGUGAACAUUACCUCUAUGUUGCUUCGGCGGAGCGCCCCGGCGCCGGAACCCCCUGCGGUCCCGCGGCCCGGAACCAAGGCGCCGCCGGAGGGCACAAACUCUUCUGUUUUUACAGUUCUUCUGAGUGUGCCGCAAGGCAGUAUACAAAUGAUCAAAACUUUCAACAACGAUCUCUUGGUUCUGCAUCGAUGAAAACGCAGCGAAAUGCGAUAAGUAAUGUGAAUGCAGAAUUCAGUGAAUCAUCGAAUCUUUGAACGCACAUGCGCCGCAGAAUUCUGGCGGGCAUGCUGUUCGAGCGUCAUUUCAACCCUCGAGCUCCCCUUUCGGGGGGAGCCCGGCGUUGGGGACCCGGCGCUAACAACGCCGGCCCCGAAAUGGAGUGGCGCCCGCCCGCGCGACCUCUGCGUAGUAACAACCACUCGCACCGGGACCGGCGCGGCCACGCCGUAAAACACCCACCUUCCGAAUGUUGACCUCGAAUCAGGUAGGAAUACCGCUGAACUUAA
RNAcentral lists this ribosomal RNA (575 nucleotides) under uncultured fungus. Its description in RNAcentral is "eukaryotic LSU rRNA". The stretch from base 225 to 370 matches the Rfam family "5.8S ribosomal RNA". The record is from RNAcentral. Lineage: Eukaryota; Fungi.